GAUGAACGCUGGCGGCGUGCCUAAUACAUGCAAGUCGAGCGAACGGACGAGAAGCUUGCUUCUCUGAUGUUAGCGGCGGACGGGUGAGUAACUCGUGGAUAACCUACCUAUAAGACUGGGAUAACUUCGGGAAACCGGAGCUAAUACCGGAUAAUAUUUUGAACCGCAUGGUUCAAAAGUGAAAGACGGUCUUGCUGUCACUUAUAGAUGGAUCCGCGCUGCAUUAGCUAGUUGGUAAGGUAACGGCUUACCAAGGCAACGAUGCAUAGCCGACCUGAGAGGGUGAUCGGCCACACUGGAACUGAGACACGGUCCAGACUCCUACGGGAGGCAGCAGUAGGGAAUCUUCCGCAAUGGGCGAAAGCCUGACGGAGCAACGCCGCGUGAGUGAUGAAGGUCUUCGGAUCGUAAAACUCUGUUAUUAGGGAAGAACAUAUGUGUAAGUAACUGUGCACAUCUUGACGGUACCUAAUCAGAAAGCCACGGCUAACUACGUGUCAGCAGCCGCGGUAAUACGUAGGUGGCAAGCGUUAUCCGGAAUUAUUGGGCGUAAAGCGCGCGUAGGCGGUUUUUUAAGUCUGAUGUGAAAGCCCACGGCUCAACCGUGGAGGGUCAUUGGAAACUGGAAAACUUGAGUGCAGAAGAGGAAAGUGGAAUUCCAUGUGUAGCGGUGAAAUGCGCAGAGAUAUGGAGGAACACCAGUGGCGAAGGCGACUUUCUGGUCUGUAACUGACGCUGAUGUGCGAAAGCGUGGGGAUCAAACAGGAUUAGAUACCCUGGUAGUCCACGCCGUAAACGAUGAGUGCUAAGUGUUAGGGGGUUUCCGCCCCUUAGUGCUGCAGCUAACGCAUUAAGCACUCCGCCUGGGGAGUACGACCGCAAGGUUGAAGCUCAAAGGAAUUGACGGGGACCCGCACAAGCGGUGGAGCAUGUGGUUUAAUUCGAAGCAACGCGAAGAACCUUACCAAAUCUUGACAUCCUUUGACAACUCUAGAGAUAGAGCCUUCCCCUUCGGGGGACAAAGUGACAGGUGGUGCAUGGUUGUCGUCAGCUCGUGUCGUGAGAUGUUGGGUUAAGUCCCGCAACGAGCGCAACCCUUAAGCUUAGUUGCCAUCAUUAAGUUGGGCACUCUAAGUUGACUGCCGGUGACAAACCGGAGGAAGGUGGGGAUGACGUCAAAUCAUCAUGCCCCUUAUGAUUUGGGCUACACACGUGCUACAAUGGACAAUACAAAGGGCAGCGAAACCGCGAGGUCAAGCAAAUCCCAUAAAGUUGUUCUCAGUUCGGAUUGUAGUCUGCAACUCGACUACAUGAAGCUGGAAUCGCUAGUAAUCGUAGAUCAGCAUGCUACGGUGAAUACGUUCCCGGGUCU
RNAcentral lists this ribosomal RNA (1372 nucleotides) under uncultured bacterium. RNAcentral describes it as "bacterial SSU rRNA". It matches the Rfam family "Bacterial small subunit ribosomal RNA", at positions 28 to 1381 of the family's 1533-position model. The record is from RNAcentral.